This 497-nucleotide ribosomal RNA is filed under the name uncultured bacterium. Its description in RNAcentral is "partial 16S ribosomal RNA". It matches the Rfam family "Bacterial small subunit ribosomal RNA", at positions 28 to 507 of the family's 1533-position model. The record is from RNAcentral.
GAUGAACGCUGGCGGCGUGCCUAAUACAUGCAAGUCGAGCGAACAGAUAAGGAGCUUGCUCCUUUGACGUUAGCGGCGGACGGGUGAGUUACACGUGGAUAACCUACCUAUAAGACUGGGAUAACUUCGGGAAACCGGAGCUAAUACCGGAUAACAUAUUGAACCGCAUGGUUCAAUAGUGAAAGGCGGCUUUGCUGUCACUUAUAGAUGGAUCCGCGCCGUAUUAGCUAGUUGGUAAGGUAACGGCUUACCAAGGCAACGAUACGUAGCCGACCUGAGAGGGUGAUCGGCCACACUGGAACUGAGACACGGUCCAGACUCCUACGGGAGGCAGCAGUAGGGAAUCUUCCGCAAUGGGCGAAAGCCUGACGGAGCAACGCCGCGUGAGUGAUGAAGGUCUUCGGAUCGUAAAACUCUGUUAUCAGGGAAGAACAAAUGUGUAAGUAACUGUGCACAUCUUGACGGUACCUGACCAGAAAGCCACGGCUAACUACGUG